RNAcentral lists this transfer RNA (73 nucleotides) under Myotis brandtii (Brandt's bat). It matches the Rfam family "tRNA". Rfam says of the family: Transfer RNA (tRNA) molecules are approximately 80 nucleotides in length. Lineage: Eukaryota; Metazoa; Chordata; Mammalia; Chiroptera; Vespertilionidae. The record is from Rfam by way of RNAcentral.
GCCCGUUUGGCUCAAUGGAUAGAGCGUCAGCCUGCGGACUGAAGUGUUCCAGGUUCGAUUCCGGUCAAGGGCA